AAAAAUGAAUUAAGCACGUUUGCUUUAAGAGAUUUAUUCGAGCUCAACACCGGGCCAACCUUGGAGAUCACUUAACUGGGCUCGUAUAUAACUAGUGUUUGCUCCAGGAUAGGACUGAGAGGCAAGAUCAGUACUUUGGAAUCCAAUCAAAAAUACUUUGCGAAGCAUUUCCCAAAGUUCCUCAUUUGAUUCGCAGCUCUCCAUUGAGGUAGAACUGUUUUGUAUAAUAUCAAUUGCAGCAAGUAGAUGUUU
Non-coding RNA from Schizosaccharomyces pombe (fission yeast), 252 nucleotides. Lineage: Eukaryota; Fungi; Ascomycota; Schizosaccharomycetes; Schizosaccharomycetales; Schizosaccharomycetaceae. The record is from the annotation of a GenBank genome assembly.